RNAcentral lists this ribosomal RNA (446 nucleotides) under uncultured bacterium. RNAcentral describes it as "bacterial SSU rRNA". It matches the Rfam family "Bacterial small subunit ribosomal RNA", at positions 329 to 792 of the family's 1533-position model. The record is from RNAcentral.
CACCAGACUCCUACGGGAGGCAGCAGUGGGGAAUAUUGCACAAUGGGGGAAACCCUGAUGCAGCGACGCCGCGUGAGUGAAGAAGUAUUUCGGUAUGUAAAGCUCUAUCAGCAGGGAAGAAAAUGACGGUACCUGACUAAGAAGCCCCGGCUAAAUACGUGCCAGCAGCCGCGGUAAUACGUAUGGGGCAAGCGUUAUCCGGAUUUACUGGGUGUAAAGGGAGCGCAGGCGGCUUGGCAAGUCUGAUGUGAAAGGCUGGGGCUCAACCCCAGGACUGCAUUGGAAACUGUUAGGCUGGAGUGUCGGAGAGGUAAGCGGAAUUCCUAGUGUAGCGGUGAAAUGCGUAGAUAUUAGGAGGAACACCAGUGGCGAAGGCGGCUUGCUGGGCUUUUACUGACGCUGAGGCUCGAAAGCGUGGGGAGCAAACAGGAUUAGAUACCCGUGUA